UAGCUCAGUUGGUUGAGCGUGGUGCUGAUAACACCAAGGUCACAGGUUCGAUCCCCGU
This is a non-coding RNA of Apaloderma vittatum (bar-tailed trogon), 58 nucleotides long. The record is from Rfam. Lineage: Eukaryota; Metazoa; Chordata; Aves; Trogoniformes; Trogonidae.